This 507-nucleotide ribosomal RNA is filed under the name uncultured bacterium. Its description in RNAcentral is "partial 16S ribosomal RNA". It matches the Rfam family "Bacterial small subunit ribosomal RNA", at positions 28 to 507 of the family's 1533-position model. The record is from RNAcentral.
GACGAACGCUGGCGGCGUGCCUAAUACAUGCAAGUCGAACGCAUUUUCUUUCACCGUAGCUUGCUACACCGAAAGAAAAUGAGUGGCGAACGGGUGAGUAACACGUGGGUAACCUGCCCAUCAGCGGGGGAUAACACUUGGAAACAGGUGCUAAUACCGCAUAAUUCCAUUUACUGCAUGGUAGAUGGAUGAAAGGCGCUUUUGCGUCACUGAUGGAUGGACCCGCGGUGCAUUAGCUAGUUGGUGGGGUAACGGCCUACCAAGGCUGCGAUGCAUAGCCGACCUGAGAGGGUGAUCGGCCACACUGGGACUGAGACACGGCCCAGACUCCUACGGGAGGCAGCAGUAGGGAAUCUUCGGCAAGGGACGCAAGUCUGACCGAGCAACGCCGCGUGAGUGAAGAAGGUUUUCGGAUCGUAAAACUCUGUUGUUAGAAAAGAACAAGGAUGAGAGUGGAAAGUUCAUCCCUUGACGGUAUCUAACCAGAAAGCCACGGCUAACUACGUG